RNAcentral lists this long non-coding RNA (328 nucleotides) under Phoenix dactylifera (date palm). Its description in RNAcentral is "long non-coding RNA (PDAC_LNC006191)". The record is from RNAcentral. Lineage: Eukaryota; Viridiplantae; Streptophyta; Magnoliopsida; Arecales; Arecaceae.
UUUCCUAUUGAUUUAUAACCAGCUUAUUUGGAGGUUGCUUACAUUAAAUUGUGAGUAUAAUUAACUAAAGUUUUAAAGUAAACCUAGAAAAUGUAGUUCCCACAUUCAUAUAAUAUAUUUGCUAACCUUUUAUCUUUCAACUCUUAUUCUUUAUAUCAACUUCAAAUUUGUUAAAAAAUUCAUACUAUGUUGCUAGUAAUUAAACCAACUAUAAUGGCAAGAAGUCUAAGUAGCUAGCAAUAAUAUUUUUGCAUUUUGUUUUUUAUCAAAAAAUGAGAUCUUAAUAUAUUUUAUCCUUUGGGUCAUGCAAAAUAGGAAUGCCCUCAAA